RNAcentral lists this ribosomal RNA (362 nucleotides) under uncultured bacterium. RNAcentral describes it as "partial 16S ribosomal RNA". It matches the Rfam family "Bacterial small subunit ribosomal RNA", at positions 355 to 710 of the family's 1533-position model. The record is from RNAcentral.
UAGGGAAUCUUCCACAAUGGACGCAAGUCUGAUGGAGCAACGCCGCGUGAGUGAAGAAGGCUUUCGGGUCGUAAAACUCUGUUAUUGAAGAAGAACGUGUGUGACAGUAACUGGUCAUGCAGUGACGGUAUUCAAUCAGAAAGUCACGGCUAACUACGUGCCAGCAGCCGCGGUAAUACGUAGGUGGCAAGCGUUGUCCGGAUUUAUUGGGCGUAAAGCGAGUGCAGGCGGUCUUUUAAGUCUGAUGUGAAAGCCUUCGGCUUAACCGAAGAAGGGCAUCGGAAACUGGGAGACUUGAGUGCAGAAGAGGAGAGUGGAACUCCAUGUGUAGCGGUGAAUGCGUAGAUAUAUGGAAGAACACC